RNAcentral lists this ribosomal RNA (467 nucleotides) under uncultured bacterium. Its description in RNAcentral is "partial 16S ribosomal RNA". It matches the Rfam family "Bacterial small subunit ribosomal RNA", at positions 29 to 507 of the family's 1533-position model. The record is from RNAcentral.
ACGAACGCUGGCGGCGUGCUUAACACAUGCAAGGCGAACGGAAAGGCCCUGCUUUUGUGGGGUGCUCGAGUGGCGAACGGGGGAGUAACACGUGAGUAACCUGCCCUUGACUUUGGGAUAACUUCAGGAAACUGGGGCUAAUACCGGAUAGGAGCUCCUGCUGCAUGGUGGGGGUUGGAAAGUUUCGGCGGUUGGGGAUGGACUCGCGGCUUAUCAGCUUGUUGGUGGGGUAGUGGCUUACCAAGGCUUUGACGGGUAGCCGGCCUGAGAGGGUGACCGGCCACCUUGGGACUGAGAUACGGCCCCGACUCCUACGGGAGGCAGCAGUGGGGAAUAUUGCACAAUGGGCGGAAGCCUGAUGCAGCAACGCCGCGUGCGGGAUGACGGCCUUCGGGUUGUAAACCGCUUUCGCCUGUGACGAAGCGUGAGUGACGGUAAUGGGUAAAGAAGCACCGGCUAACUACGUG